GCCUCGUUUGGACAGUAGGCAGUACAUCAGUCUAAUAAUCUGAAGGUCGUGAGUUCAAUUCUCACACGAGGCA
Non-coding RNA from Nerophis lumbriciformis (worm pipefish), 73 nucleotides. NCBI's taxonomy places the organism in Eukaryota, Metazoa, Chordata, Actinopteri, Syngnathiformes, Syngnathidae. The record is from the annotation of a RefSeq genome assembly.